RNAcentral lists this long non-coding RNA (1513 nucleotides) under Ornithorhynchus anatinus (platypus). RNAcentral's name for it is "lncRNA (ENSOANG00000045615.1)". The record is from RNAcentral. Lineage: Eukaryota; Metazoa; Chordata; Mammalia; Monotremata; Ornithorhynchidae.
GGAGCACUGUGUUUGAGAGGAAAGCCGGUCCAGGGCCCAGGAGGAAGGAGCUGUUUGGGUAACGCCGUGACUCGUGUUGUCACAACUCGCAUCCCCACGGGACGUGCCACUGCAGACCGUCAAGCUUUCUGGACGUCGUCCACAGGGGCCGGCCUCACCUCAGCGACCACGGCCCCCUGCCCGGCUGGGCCGAGGGCGGCUCCAGGCCCCAAGGUCCCGGGGCCCCGGGGGCCGAAGCGGCCUAGGAAAAUCCACUUCCGUAGGGCGCCGUGGCGGGCGAAGCAGAGGCCGAGCAGACCUGGAUCCAGGACAUCACCCGGUUCCCGAUUGCAGAGAUCACCGAUGGAUCAAUCGCUCAAUCUUUCCCGAAUUUCUGAAACUGAGCCCCCUCCCAGACAUCGUUCUGUACGUGGCCGAAGAAAGCAGGACUCGGGCCCAGGCAGACAAACCCCGGCGGAUGGAGUCUCCCUCUAAAACCUUCAAAUAAAGACCACCCCCUCUCCCCAAACUUGCAUUUCCUUGGCUAUUCUAUUAUCUGUGCUCAUCAUGUCCUCCGCCUCCAAAAAAAAAUCACCCACAUCCACACACUCCUGGGAGCGAGACCAGGGAUUUUGAGGAUCCAAAGGGUUUAGUGUUAUUGCCAUAGAGUCCCAUGCCUGCCCAAGUCUCUCGAGCCAAACCUUGAUUUUUUAAACUCUUAGGACCAGGAUCACCGGGAUGGGCACCGGCUUGGGAUAGGGUGUGGGGAGAGGAUCGGCGAAGAGGUAGGGAUGGGAUGUAGUUCGGGAUAGGGAGAGUUACCAGGAAGUAAGUCCCUUACAUUCAGCAACAAGCCAUUUCUGGCCACGUCCUUGUGUCAUCUGAGGAUUUUGCCUCAGUUACCUCACCUAUAAAAUGGAAAUUAAGACUGUAAGCCAAAUGUGGGACAGCGGCUUUGUCCAACAUGACUUGCUUACAUCCACUCCAGUGCUGAGUACAGUGCCUGGCACGUAGUACACACUUAACAAAUACCUUGCCUUGUCUUAUGCUGUGGAGUCGUCUCCGAUCCAUAGCCCCGCCAUGGACGUCUCUCCCGGCAUGACCCACCUCCAUCUGCCAUCCUUCUGGUAGCGGAUCCAUAGAGUUUUCUUGGUAAAAAUCCAGAAGUGGUUUGCCAUUGUUGCCUUCCGCACAGUUAGCUUGAGUCUCCGGCCUCGACUCUCUCCCACGUCGCCGCUUCCCAACUCAGGUGAGUUUUGAUGUGUAGCAGAUUGUCUUCUACUCGCAAGCCACUGCCCGAGCUAGGAAUUCAUUUAUUCAUUCAUUCAUUCAAUCAUAUUUACUGAGCGCUUACUGUGUGCAGAACACUGUAUUAAGCACUUGGAAAGUACAAUUCAGAAACAAAGAGAAGCAAUCCCUGCCCACAAUGGGCUCACAGUCUAGAAGGGGGGAGACAGACAUUAAAACAAGUAACAGACAUCAAUAGCAUCAAUACAAAUAAAUAGAAUUAUAGAUAUAUAUACAUCAAAACAGG